Molecule: long non-coding RNA, 204 nt
Filed under: Lathyrus oleraceus (garden pea)
Lineage: Eukaryota; Viridiplantae; Streptophyta; Magnoliopsida; Fabales; Fabaceae
Description: Pisum sativum (pea) long non-coding RNA (PSAT_LNC010700)
Source: RNAcentral
UAUCAUGCUGCUUGCCUUGCCAUUAUGUGUUUUGCUCGAAUUUUGGCAUGUUGAUGAACCAUGUUGCUGUUGCUGCUAUACCAUGCUGCUGUGAUGAUGAUGUUGAUGUUCAUAAAAUUCUGCUGCAAUUUUGAGACAUGAAUGUGUGCCUGCUAUGCUGUUAUGUGCUAUUGUUUUGAAACAUGAUGAUGAUGUAUACCAUGC